UAAACCCUGCGUGGUUCGAUUUGUUGCAGCUUUAUAUAAUCCUACUAAUCAAUCUUUGGGAGCCCGGAUUUGUCCCCCGCCGGAUCGCAGACCUCCCGCCCCGUGUAUACACGGCAAGCGGAAGAAGGGAGCGUGAUUGCGGGUGCAGGGCACCCACCUGCCAUAUAACGGUAGGUUUUGAUUGGCUGCAGACGGCCGCGCGGGAUUUUU
This 210-nucleotide non-coding RNA is filed under the name Gemmiger sp. Its description in RNAcentral is "6S RNA". It matches the Rfam family "6S / SsrS RNA". Rfam says of the family: E. coli 6S RNA was the first non coding RNA to be sequenced, but its function was unknown until recently. It consists of 184 nucleotides that fold into an extended hairpin structure with a large single-stranded internal bulge. The record is from RNAcentral. RNAcentral also lists the same sequence under 6 other names. Lineage: Bacteria; Bacillati; Bacillota; Clostridia; Eubacteriales; Oscillospiraceae.